AUAACCCUUUGUGACCUUUAUACCUGUUGCUUCGGCGGCGCGCCUCCGGGCGUGCCCGCCGGUAUCAUCAGAAUCUCUGUUUGAACCCGACGAUACUUCUGAGUGUUCUAAGCGAACUGUUAAAACUUUCAACAACGGAUCUCUUGGCUCCAGCAUCGAUGAAGAACGCAGCGAAACGCGAUAAGUAAUGUGAAUUGCAGAAUUCAGUGAAUCAUCGAAUCUUUGAACGCACAUGGCGCCUUCCAGUAUCCUGGGAGGCAUGCCUGUCCGAGCGUCGUUUCAACCCUCGAGCCCCCGUGGCCCGGCGUUGGGGAUCUGCCCAGGCAGGCCCCGAAAACCAGUGGCGGACCCGUUUAGGCCCUUCCUUUGCGUAGUAAUACUGCCCUUUGCGUAGUAAUACUGCCUCGCAUCGGGAGCCGGCGGGCUUUCAGCCUCUAAACCCCCAGCAAG
Molecule: ribosomal RNA, 450 nt
Filed under: fungal endophyte sp. P1623D
Lineage: Eukaryota; Fungi
Description: eukaryotic LSU rRNA
Rfam family: 5.8S ribosomal RNA (bases 124-277)
Source: RNAcentral